RNAcentral lists this unclassified non-coding RNA (378 nucleotides) under soil metagenome. Its description in RNAcentral is "partial contains 5.8S ribosomal RNA, internal transcribed spacer 2, and large subunit ribosomal RNA". The stretch from base 1 to 120 matches the Rfam family "5.8S ribosomal RNA", at positions 35 to 154 of the family's 154-position model. The record is from RNAcentral.
GAUGAAGAACGCAGCGAAAUGCGAUAAGUAAUGUGAAUUGCAGAAUUCAGUGAAUCAUCGAAUCUUUGAACGCACCUUGCACCCUUUGGCAUUCUGAAGGGUAUGCUCGUUUGAGUGUCAUUGUACUCUCACACUCCCGAUCUUUGCAUUGGGAGCAGUGGACUUGGGUUUGCUGCUUCACCGUCGCUUACCUCAAAUAGGUUAGUGCAACUCUUGGUUGGACAUAGUACGGCGUGAUAAGUGUUCUUCGCCGGUGCCUCGCAAAGAGGGUGGCCGAUCGGGAUGUUGUGCUCCAAACCGUCUUCGGACAAUCUCUGACGACUUGACCUCAAAUCGAGUAAGACUACCCGCUGAACUUAAGCAUAUCAAUAAGCGGGA